Molecule: ribosomal RNA, 424 nt
Filed under: uncultured Luteibacter sp.
Lineage: Bacteria; Pseudomonadati; Pseudomonadota; Gammaproteobacteria; Lysobacterales; Rhodanobacteraceae
Description: bacterial SSU rRNA
Rfam family: Bacterial small subunit ribosomal RNA
Source: RNAcentral
GGAAUAUUGGACAAUGGGCGCAAGCCUGAUCCAGCAAUGCCGCGUGUGUGAAGAAGGCCCUCGGGUUGUAAAGCACUUUUAUCAGGAGCGAAAUCUGCAAGGCUAAUACCCUUGUAGUCUGACGGUACCUGAGGAAUAAGCACCGGCUAACUCCGUGCCAGCAGCCGCGGUAAUACGGAGGGUGCAAGCGUUAAUCGGAAUUACUGGGCGUAAAGCGUGUGUAGGCGGUUUGUUAAGUCUGUUGUGAAAGCCCCGGGCUCAACCUGGGAAGGGCAGUGGAUACUGGCAAGCUAGAGUGUGAUAGAGGAUGGUGGAAUUCCCGGUGUAGCGGUGAAAUGCGUAGAGAUCGGGAGGAACAUCAGUGGCGAAGGCGGCCAUCUGGAUCAACACUGACGCUGAGACACGAAAGCGUGGGGAGCAAACA